CUGGUCUUGACAUCCACGGAAGUUUUCAGAGAUGAGAAUGUGCCUUCGGGAACCGUGAGACAGGUGCUGCAUGGCUGUCGUCAGCUCGUGUUGUGAAAUGUUGGGUUAAGUCCUGCAACGAGCGCAACCCUUAUCCUUUGUUGCCAGCGGUCCGGCCGGGAACUCAAAGGAGACUGCCAGUGAUAAACUGGAGGAAGGUGGGGAUGACGUCAAGUCAUCAUGGCCCUUACGACCAGGGCUACACACGUGCUACAAUGGCGCAUACAAAGAGAAGCGACCUCGCGAGAGCAAGCGGACCUCAUAAAGUGCGUCGUAGUCCGGAUUGGAGUCUGCAACUCGACUCCAUGAAGUCGGAAUCGCUAGUAAUCGUGGAUCAGAAUGCCACGGUGAAUACGUUCCC
Molecule: ribosomal RNA, 400 nt
Filed under: uncultured Gammaproteobacteria bacterium
Lineage: Bacteria; Pseudomonadati; Pseudomonadota; Gammaproteobacteria
Description: bacterial SSU rRNA
Rfam family: Bacterial small subunit ribosomal RNA
Source: RNAcentral